RNAcentral lists this ribosomal RNA (253 nucleotides) under uncultured bacterium. Its description in RNAcentral is "partial 16S ribosomal RNA". It matches the Rfam family "Bacterial small subunit ribosomal RNA", at positions 524 to 776 of the family's 1533-position model. The record is from RNAcentral.
UACGGAGGGGGCUAGCGUUGUUCGGAAUUACUGGGCGUAAAGCGCACGUAGGCGGCUUUGUAAGUUAGAGGUGAAAGCCCAGGGCUUAACCCUGGAAUUGCCUUUAAGACUGCAUCGCUAGAAUCGUGGAGAGGUGAGUGGAAUUCCGAGUGUAGAGGUGAAAUUCGUAGAUAUUCGGAAGAACACCAGUGGCGAAGGCGACUCACUGGACACGUAUUGACGCUGAGGUGCGAAAGCGUGGGGAGCGAGCCGG